GACGAACGCUGGCGGCGUGCCUAAUACAUGCAAGUUGAGCGCUGAAGGUUGGUACUUGUACCAACUGGAUGAGCAGCGAACGGGUGAGUAACGCGUGGGGAAUCUGCCUUUGAGCGGGGGACAACAUUUGGAAACGAAUGCUAAUACCGCAUAAAAACUUUAAACACAAGUUUUAAGUUUGAAAGAUGCAAUUGCAUCACUCAAAGAUGAUCCCGCGUUGUAUUAGCUAGUUGGUGAGGUAAAGGCUCACCAAGGCGAUGAUACAUAGCCGACCUGAGAGGGGGAUCGGCCACAUUGGGACUGAGACACGGCCCAAACUCCUACGGGAGGCAGCAGUAGGGAAUCUUCGGCAAUGGACGAAAGUCUGACCGAGCAACGCCGCGUGAGUGAAGAAGGGUUUCGGAUCGUAAAACUCUGUUGGUAGAGAAGAACGUUGGUGAGAGUGGAAAGCUCAUCAAGAGACGGUAACUACCCAGAAAGGGACGGCUAACUACGUG
This 497-nucleotide ribosomal RNA is filed under the name uncultured bacterium. RNAcentral describes it as "partial 16S ribosomal RNA". It matches the Rfam family "Bacterial small subunit ribosomal RNA", at positions 28 to 507 of the family's 1533-position model. The record is from RNAcentral.